RNAcentral lists this transfer RNA (87 nucleotides) under Kitasatospora xanthocidica. Its description in RNAcentral is "Streptomyces xanthocidicus tRNA-Leu". It matches the Rfam family "tRNA". Rfam says of the family: Transfer RNA (tRNA) molecules are approximately 80 nucleotides in length. Their secondary structure includes four short double-helical elements and three loops (D, anti-codon, and T loops). Lineage: Bacteria; Bacillati; Actinomycetota; Actinomycetes; Kitasatosporales; Streptomycetaceae. The record is from RNAcentral.
GCGGCCUUGGCGGAAUUGGCAGACGCCUGGGUUUUAGGUGCCCAUGGGAGAAAUCCCGUGAGGGUUCGAGUCCCUCAGGCCGCACUA